This 396-nucleotide ribosomal RNA is filed under the name uncultured bacterium. RNAcentral's name for it is "bacterial SSU rRNA". It matches the Rfam family "Bacterial small subunit ribosomal RNA", at positions 28 to 419 of the family's 1533-position model. The record is from RNAcentral.
GACGAACGCUGGCGGCGUGCCUAACACAUGCAAGUCUAAGGAGAAAAGGGUAGCAAUAUCCUGAGUAAACUGGCGCACGGGUGAGUAACACGUAGGCAAUCUGCCUUUAGGACGGGAACAACCACGCGAAAGCGUGGCUAAUACCCGAUAAUGCAGCGGCACCGCAUGGUGACAGUUGUUAAAUCCCGCAAGGGGCCUAUUGAUGAGCCUGCGUCCCAUUAGGAGUUGGUGAGGUAACGGCUCACCAAGCCUGCGAUGGGUAGCUGGUCUGAGAGGAUGAUCAGCCACACUGGAACUGAGACACGGUCCAGACUCCUACGGGAGGCAGCAGUGAGGAAUAUUGCGCAAUGGCCGAAAGGCUGACGCAGCGACGCCGCGUGAAGGAUGAGUCCGUUA